Molecule: non-coding RNA, 462 nt
Organism: Sorex fumeus (smoky shrew)
Lineage: Eukaryota; Metazoa; Chordata; Mammalia; Eulipotyphla; Soricidae
Source: the annotation of a RefSeq genome assembly
AUGACCUGGGCUCUCUUUCUCCUCACUUUCCUCACCCAGGCCACAGGUUCCUGGACCCAACAGAUCCUGACUCAGCCUUCCUCCUUGUCUGAGGCUCUGGGGCAGACGGUCCCCAUCUCCUGUGACGGAAGCCACAAUGACAUUGGUGCUUACUCGUAUAGUGUCUCCUCGUACCGACAGCACUCAGGAACAGCCCCCAAACUCUUGAUUUAUGAUACAACAUCUCGGCCCUCAGACAUCCCUGAUCGCUUCUCUGGCUCCAAGUCUGGCAACAGAGCGACCCUGACCAUCUCUGGGCUCAAGCCUGAAGAUGAGAGUGAUUAUUACUGUUGCUCAUAUACAAAAAGUAGCACUUUCCACAGUGACUGUUGUUCACAAGGAAGUGAGACAAAAACCUGUUCUCAAGACUGCCACACUCCUGAAUCCAACUUUUGCUGCUUUAUCUUACUUAAAAACUUUUAG